This 3165-nucleotide long non-coding RNA is filed under the name Salmo salar (Atlantic salmon). Its description in RNAcentral is "lncRNA (ENSSSAG00000095987.1)". The record is from RNAcentral. Lineage: Eukaryota; Metazoa; Chordata; Actinopteri; Salmoniformes; Salmonidae.
GUACAUUUUAUGUUGUAGAUAUGUCGCAGUAGAGUAGUUGCCUGAGGGCACACACUUAAUGUGUUGUGAAAUGUAAUACAACGUUUUUAAUUGUAUAUACCAGGCAUUAAUUUUGCUGGUCCCCAGGAAAAGUAUCUGCUGCCAAUUGGGAUCCAUAAUAAAUACAAAUACAAAUCAUAAACCGCUGUGAAAUAUAUUUUCCAUAACAAAAAAUAUUGUAUUUUCAGCUGUUUGAAACUGGUGUACAAAACCGAAAGUAAAAUACGCAAAAAGGGAAACUUAAGAACGGGCAUCAUAGAAACCCAGCACAUAGAAGACAUAUACGGCUUUUAAAACUUGCUUUCAAUGAGAAUAACAGAUAACUCAAUUGAAAUGUGACUUUGGCCGUGUAGCCCCAAAAAGUUACAUAUUGCAGCGUUAAAGGUAGGGGGAUUCUACUUUGCCAAUCAGACGUAGUUACUAGGCGGGCCUGACAUUUCAUUGGACCAUUCAAGGUUCUCCUACCUGAUUCCCUUCGGGGUUAUUGUAUCCUACGAUAAGUCGUCGGUGAGAAGGAAAAGCGGAAUUCGAACUGCCUCGAUGUGUCGUUUGGAUGUGGAGUCUGACGUGAAAGGACCUGAACAACAUAGACAUGUCCUCCCUUCGUCAAGAUAUCAAAAAUGAAAGCAAAAUUGUAAAAUCAAUAUCCGACAAAGCAACAUGAAAAGAAGAAAAAACUGUGGCGGGACAACUCCACAGGAAUUACAGAAAAAAGAAACUGCUAAAAGCUGUAAUGACAUAACACCAUCAAGCGAGGAAAAUGAUACACUUCAACAUGUUCAAGAAGCAAAUUAAGAAGAUGCAGCCUCCCCAAGAGAACAGCCAUUCUCACCUCAGCAGGUAAAUGUCCUGCCAUCAACUCCUAAAAGAAGAGAGACAUCUCUACAGACACCAGGACCAAGGAAGACAUCUACCCCAAAGGAAUCACCCAAAAAGAGGAACAGAAGAAAGAAAACACUAUCAAAAUUUUGGGCAAAGUUGCACUACACAGAAGAGAAGCUUCUGGAGAGGACCAAAGAGAUGGUCAAUCCAAAGAAAAGACUGAAAAGACUUGAGAUGAUGGCCAAGAGGAAGCAGGUAAUUGUCAACAUGGAAGGCAAAGAGGUGUCAUCAGAGAACAUUACAGCCGGAGAAGACUAAUGCACACACUUGUUAGCCGCUUCCUUCAUCGAGAUGAAGUCAACACUAAUAAAUGGGUAAUCUGGAGAACUUUGGAAAAAGGGACAGUUAUUCCAUAAGAGAGCCUUAAUAACGGACGCUAUGGCAUAUCUUCAUAGAAGAUUUCUGUCUGAGAAUCCAAGGCACAACCUUUCCAAGGCUCAAUUCUUUAAACGAGUCACAGACAGAGAAACAUGUGCUUGCAAAAGGCAUGGAAACUUUGGCUUGAAGAUAAAGAAGCUGCACCAGCUUGGGGUCAUAGAAACAUCAUCCCCAGGCCAGUGUCUGUAGUGACGAUGACAUGUCCUGCUCUGUUUUUGGAUGUUUUCAGCCUAUGUAUGUUAUGUACUUUUGAAGCACUGCAAAAUGAAUUUGAUUGAACUUGAAUCCAUGAUUGUGCCAAUCUCUCAUUUAUUUUCUACAUUAAAUGUCAUGUUUUUAAUCAUACCUCAGUCUUAGUAUACUUAUUAUCAUUACAGAAAUUGUCGACCUCAUUUCUGAAACCUAGGUAUCAUUACCGCAACAGGUGUUCAUUUAAUGUUAUUUUAAUGAAUGGAAAAAUUGUAAAUUGCUUUUAAAUGCAUGUGCAGAAUCUAUAAGUUAUGUUCUUUCAGGUUUGCCACAUCAUUUUGAAAAUGUCAGGUUUCAAUGAAAUAUCUAAAAAUAUUAGGUUGUAGAUUGUGGAAGAUGUUGCGGUAAUGAGAGAGCAGUCAAAAUCAAAUGUUAUAUUUGUUUCAGAGUUUCAAGUAACUGCAUGACUAACAUUUUCAAUUAUUAUUAUUUUUUGAUUAUUAGCUUUCCUAAUGGUAUCGACUGUUGUGGUGAUGAGAUUUUUAAGGACUUGUUUUUGAAAAUGUUAAAUGUGUUAAUUUAAAAACAUUUACUGACAAUUUAAUGCUCACAAACACUUCAGACCUUGUUAUUAAUGCCUAAAAAGGAAAUGUAUUGCAAGUCUAAAGAUUUCAUGUUUGAAAUCUUUGAAACCAAGAUUUUGUGAGUCACCCUAAUACAGAACAUCAAUAGACAAGAACAGCUCAAGUACAGAACUACAUAAAAAUUUUUUAAAAGGCACGCGUAGCCUACAUAUCAAUGCGUACACACAAAAUAUCUACCGUAAUUUCCGGACUAUAAGCCGCAACUUUGUUCCCAGGCUUCGAACCUCGCGGCUUAAACAAUGACGCGGCUAAUAUAUGGAUUUUUCCCGCUUUCAUUUUUUUUUUUCUCCAAAAAACACAUUCUGUGACGUGCUCAGAUUUUUGGCGGCAUGAAGCUUUCAUUAGACCAAUGAAAUUGGCAAACGGGUUAAGGUCAAACAACUUUUUUGUUUACUGUUUAGAUUAAAUCGAGCGCUCUCAAACUUCCCAUCAUUCUGAUUACGGUAGUCAUUUUGUCACCAUCAUGGCAAAGACACGGAGAAAUGCAUAUGAUGCAGCUUUCAAGUUGAAGGCGAUUGAUCUGGCUGUUGGAAAAGGAAAUGGAGCUGCUGCACGGGAGCUUGGUCUUAAUGAGUCGAUAAGACGUUGGAAACGGCAGCGUGAGGAAUUGACUCAGUGCAAAAAGACAACUAAAGCUUACUGCAAUUUUUUUUUGUUACAAGCCGUGUUUCAUUAAAGCCUGUGUAAAGUUAAUUUGUUUCAAUGUACCGGUAGGCACCUGCGGCUUAUAGACAUGUGUGGCUUAUUUAUGUUCAAAAUAAAAAAAUGUUUUUAAUUCAGUGGGUGCGGCUUAUAUUCAGGUGCGCUUAAUAGUCCGUAAUUUAUGGUAGGAGAGGUGUUACUCAUUUGUCAUGUGAAACGUAUUCUACUAUAUUCCAACGAUAGAAUUAGAUGAAUCAUUAUAUUUCCAUGAUUCCAACAGUUCAAUUAACUAGACCUAGAUUUGUUUGCCUAUAUCAUGCUGCGUGGCAGUGUGAAAAUUAUUUUAAAGUGCAGGAUAUGCAUUUUCUUUAAGGGAGGGGGGUAGUUGGAU